GGGGAAUCUUCCGCAAUGGGGGCAACCCUGACGAAGCGACGCCGCGUGCAGGAUGAAGGUCUUCGGAUUGUAAACUGCUGUCAGCUGGGACGAAAAAGUUUUCGACGAAUACUCGAAAACUCUGACGGUACCAGCAGAGGAAGCCGCGGCUAACUCUGUGCCAGCAGCCGCGGUAAUACAGAGGUGGCAAGCGUUGUUCGGAUUUAUUGGGCGUAAAGGGUCCGUAGGCGGUCCGGAAAGUCGGAUGUGAAAUCCCACAGCUUAACUGUGGAACUGCAUUCGAAACUUCCAGACUAGAGUAUGAGAGGGGUAAAGGGAAUUCCCGGUGUAAGGGUGAAAUCUGCAGAGAUCGGGAGGAACACCAGUCGCGUAGGCGCUUUACUGGCUCANCNCUGACGCUCAGGGGCGAAAGCUAGGGUAGCAAAAGGGAUUAGAUACCCCAGUAGUC
RNAcentral lists this ribosomal RNA (448 nucleotides) under uncultured bacterium. RNAcentral's name for it is "SSU rRNA". It matches the Rfam family "Bacterial small subunit ribosomal RNA", at positions 356 to 795 of the family's 1533-position model. The record is from RNAcentral.